UACAUGUGGGGCAAGCGUUGUUCGGAAUUACUGGGCAUAAAGGGUGCGUAGGUGGUCUGUUAAGUCAGUGGUGAAAUCCCGCGGCCCAACCUGGGAAUUGCAGUCGAAACUACUCGGCUAGAGUAUGGGAGAGGACAGUGGAAUUCCCGGUGUAGCGGUGAAAUGCGUAGAUAUCGGGAGGAACAUCAGUGGCGAAGGCGGCUGUCUGGCCCAAUACUGACACUCAGGUGCGACAGCGUGGGGAGCAAACAGG
This 253-nucleotide ribosomal RNA is filed under the name uncultured bacterium. RNAcentral's name for it is "partial 16S ribosomal RNA". It matches the Rfam family "Bacterial small subunit ribosomal RNA", at positions 524 to 776 of the family's 1533-position model. The record is from RNAcentral.